CAGUGGUCCCAGGAAUGGAGGCAGCAGAGGAAGGAGAGAGGAGAGAGGGAGGAUAGAGGAGGGGAUGUGUUAACUGAGCCCUCUCCUUGGUAUGAGGGAAGGAGGAGAAAGAUAGACUCCGACUGCUAUUUACGAGAUGCACAAUUGAGAGCAUCCUGUCGAGCUGUAUCACCGCCUGGUAGGCAACUACACCGCCCACAACCGCUAGGCUCUCCAGAGGGUGGUGCGGUCUGCACAACGCAUCACCGGGGCAAAUUACCUGCCCUCCAGGUCACCUACAGCACCCGAUGUCACAGGAAGGCCAACAAAAAGAAUCAAGGACAACAACCACCCGAGCCACUGCCUGUUCACCCCGCUAUCAUCCAGAAGGCGAGAUUUCCUCCUCUUCGUCUGAAGAGGUGUAGUAUGGAUCGGACCAAGAUGUGGCAUGAAUUGCUGAAAAUCAACAAGACCAACAUUCCUUUGUGACCCUUUCCAUUUGCCAC
Oncorhynchus tshawytscha (Chinook salmon) is the source of this 485-nucleotide long non-coding RNA. Lineage: Eukaryota; Metazoa; Chordata; Actinopteri; Salmoniformes; Salmonidae. The record is from Ensembl.